This 468-nucleotide ribosomal RNA is filed under the name uncultured bacterium. RNAcentral's name for it is "partial 16S ribosomal RNA". It matches the Rfam family "Bacterial small subunit ribosomal RNA", at positions 28 to 507 of the family's 1533-position model. The record is from RNAcentral.
GACGAACGCUGGCGGCGUGCUUAACACAUGCAAGUCGAACGGAAAGGCCCUGCUUUUGUGGGGGGCUCGAGUGGCGAACGGGUGAGUAACACGUGAGUAACCUGCCCUUGACUUUGGGAUAACUUCAGGAAACUGGGGCUAAUACCGUAUAGGAGAUCCUGCUGCAUGGUGGGGGUGGGAAAGUUUCGGCGGUUGGGGCUGGACUCGCGGCUUAUCAGCUUGUUGGUGGGGUAGUGGCUUACAAAGGCUUUGACGGGUAGCCGGCCUGAGAGGGUGACCGGCCACAUUGGGACUGAGAUACGGCCCAGACUCCUACGGGAGGCAGCAGUGGGGAAUAUUGCGCAGUGGGCGGACGCCUGAUGCAGCAACGCCGCGUGCGGGAUGAAGGCCUUCGGGUUGUAAACCGCUUCCGCCUGUGACGAAGCGUGAUUGACGGUAAUGGGUAAAGAAGCACCGGCUAACUACGUG